UUCGACACGAGGCCGACGUCAUCUUUCCUAUCCCAGAUUCACAGUUAUCCUCGAAACGAUCAACCGAUCUCCUCCACUUCCGGGAUCCUCCUCCCUUCCUUCGAAAGGAAUUUUCCACUCCACUUCAACAUUCGAAAAAACGAGCUCGUCCAGCUGCACGCUUUUAAAAUUUUCAUCGAGCCAAGAAAUUUUCCAACGAUUCCGAUCCGCGACGCUGGUCGUCCUUAAGCGCAUACCCGUAAUCGCAUGCAAAGUAGGAGGAAGAAGUUUUUACUUUAUGUAACGAAUUCAUGUUAAGACGCGCCUAUAUAAUAACACGUAUAUCCACUCAUCCGAUUAACGAUCGGAAAAUUUCCAUUAUCUCGUUAUCGAAUGCGCGCGCAUCGAUGAAGAAAAAAAAAAAGAAAGAAAGAAAAAAGAAGAAUCCUUCGACCUAUCACCUCGCGACGAUCGAGCUUGUCCUCGCCUCCUCCUCGAUCGAGGCGACGAUCGUUAUCGCUCUCGCGUGGGCGUUCCGCGCGAACCCAUACGUUACGGGUAUACCGUUUCGCGGUUUAUAACGUCUCAAUAAUUGUCCGUGGACACGAAGAGAAGUUUUAAUUGAAAACUUAACCCGAUCUUCCUCGAAACGUAUGGACGUAAGAGGACCGAUAAGGGGGGAUUUGGAUUAUUUCUAUCUCGAUUUAUCCAUCGAGAAUUUGAAAUGGAAGGAGUAUAAGUUUCUACGCGAGCUUGGAGCACUAGCGAUUGGAGAGAAUCUCAAGUGUGACCCGAGAGCGGAGUGUGGGAGUCGAUGGCAUUGGGCGGAAGAGCAGGAGGAUAAGAAGACACGUGUGUGCGAUCUACGCGCGUGGAUUUGCGCUACGCUGACCGAGCUGGUUGGCGGAGGAUCAGACGGUUGGGAGAAUGUAUAUAUCGUGCAUUUACGUAUCGUGGAACGAAAAAGCAAUUGGAUAUACGUUAUUAAUGAUUCGUGAAUUAAAAUUAAUAAUAAUAAACGUUGGUACGUUUUUGGUCAAUGAUAGAAGCUCUCGCGAAAAAUCGAAAUGCCUGUCUUAACUUCCGAAUGCCUGUCUUCUGAAUUUGGAUCAAUUUAAUUUCUCCCCCACCCUUUUUUUUUUAAAAGAAAAGUUUAAUCCCGAGUGUAUAUUAAGCAACGCGUCUAAUUUCGAAUCGUUGACGUGACGACACGUGUGAACGACGUGGAGCGGCGUGUCGGUGAAAAUGUGAGGCGCGUUUGGUGAAUCGGAUUCUAGUAGUAAGAAAGGAGAGGAGCUCCUUCCAUUCAGAGGGAGCAUCGGUUGCUUGACGACGACAUGGACGGUAGCGGAAUAGGAUAAGCUUCAGGGCUACGGUGAACAGAUCAGAUAAAUGGCCGGCUCGAUCGUACUUCGAUGGAAUAUAAAUCUUCGGAAGACGGUAGCCUUGUCGAUAUGAAGCGUUUCAAGGAAUUCGCGCUACCGGCCGAUGGAAUGGAAAUUAGCAGCCGACUCGCUUUUGCGUCGAUCCUCUGAUAAUCACUUCGUUACAGAAAAAUGAAACGAGAUCUCGAUCCAUGUAUAUAUAUAUAUAUAUAUAUACAAGACGUUGUUACGUAAGGCAAGAGAGCGUUUCGUCAAACGGAGGAGGAGCAUAAUUUCACUUCUCUCGUUUCGAUUCUUUUUCGCGAGACGAAGGGAAGGAUCAAAGGGGAAACGAUCGUGGGUAGAGGAGCACACGAUACAUGGGCGCGUGCACCGUAGUACCUGACACACGAUCGCGGCCCUCUUCCACAUUUAUCAACGGGUGAAAUGUCAGCGGAUCCCAUGAAUCGAGCCGGCGAACGAAGAUCAUCCCAUUCACAUGAGGGGAUCGAGCGACAUCCUUGCCUCGCGGAAAUGUCAAUGUGUACGAAUAAAUCCAAUCUAAAUUA
Apis cerana (Asiatic honeybee) is the source of this 1912-nucleotide long non-coding RNA. RefSeq lists it as uncharacterized. NCBI's taxonomy places the organism in Eukaryota, Metazoa, Arthropoda, Insecta, Hymenoptera, Apidae. The record is from RefSeq and is a predicted model, not a curated record.